GAUGAACGCUGGCGGCGUGCUUAACACAUGCAAGUCGAACGAAGCACUCUAUUUGAUUUUCUUCGGAAAUGAAGAUUUUGUGACUGAGUGGCGGACGGGUGAGUAACGCGUGGGUAACCUGCCUCAUACAGGGGGAUAACAGUUGGAAACGACUGCUAAUACCGCAUAAGCGCACAGGAUUGCAUGAUCCGGUGUGAAAAACUCCGGUGGUAUGAGAUGGACCCGCGUCUGAUUAGCUAGUUGGCAGGGUAACGGCCUACCAAAGCGACGAUCAGUAGCCGACCUGAGAGGGUGACCGGCCACAUUGGGACUGAGACACGGCCCAAACUCCUACGGGAGGCAGCAGUGGGGAAUAUUGCACAAUGGGGGAAACCCUGAUGCAGCGACGCCGCGUGAGCGAAGAAGUAUUUCGGUAUGUAAAGCUCUAUCAGCAGGGAAGAAGAAUGACGGUACCUGACUAAGAAGCACCGGCUAAU
Molecule: ribosomal RNA, 476 nt
Filed under: uncultured bacterium
Lineage: Bacteria
Description: bacterial SSU rRNA
Rfam family: Bacterial small subunit ribosomal RNA
Source: RNAcentral